GUGGUGGUGUGUCUGACCGUGGGUCUGGCUGGUAGUGUGUUCUGCAUGGGUGUUAUAUUGUAGCUACAGAUCUGAAGAGAGGUAUUAUUGUUGAAUGAAAAGACGUAUCUGAAACUCUCAUUCCGUACUCCUCUUCUCUCCUCUACUUCUCCUUUCUCCCCCCAAAUCCCUUAACAAACCCUAGUUAUUGUUCGUGAGUUUCACCACGAAUUUCCGUUCGUCUGCGUCCAAACCCUCCUGAUUCGGCUGUAAAAUUCCACCGCGAAGGGUGCGAAAUUUGCUUCGGCAAAAUUCGCUCGAAAUCCCGAGCGGGGUUCGCUGGAUUCGGAGCGGGCCGCAACGGCGCCGUCGAAAUCGCCACUUCCGUCCGCCCAGACCAAGCUGGUCAUCGCCGUCAUGGGAGAGAACUCUGAGAGUAUUCAGGCGUCGCUGGCCACCCUUCUCACCAAGAUUGAAGCCAUGGAUACGAGGGUUUCCAAUUUGAGCAAACAACUUGCGGCAACACAGAAGAAUGUCGACGAGAUUCGUCACAGGCAAGCGGAGGCGGGGGCUAAACCGGCGGGAUCAGGAGUCACGGAGUAGGGCACUUCAUCGGCCAGCCGCCCCGCUCCGCGGCUUACAAAUCUGCAGCCGCCCCUCCUCGAGGUGUCGAAUGGACAGUCGGCGGGUUAGGUUUUCACCACAGCGCCCCCAUCACCUGUGGAGCAUGUGCUUGGGCAGGAGCCACCACCGGAACCAUGCCACGAUCCCAGGCCGGCGCGUGAGCACGUUCCAGAGCACCGUCGGGUGUUGGUACAGGAUCGAGACGGUGUCCACUUCAUCAAGCCACCUAAGCACCAUUUUCCACGAUUCACUGGUGAGAAUCCACGACUUUGGAUUGACAUGGCUCUUACCUACUUUGAUAUGUACCAAGUGCAUGUGCAUCAGUGGAUUUCUACCGCAACACUGUACCUCGAUGGACAUGCGACACUUUGGUGGCAAGCAUUUAAGCACUGUAGGCGUCUUUGGCCGUGGGAUGACUUUGCAGUUGAGAUUGAGUUGGAAUUUGGGCAAGGCGAGUUUGAAUCCCAUAUGACUCAUCUCUUACAAUUGAAGGAACGGGGUAUUGUGACCGAGUACAAGUCCGCAUUCGAGACAGUGAUGUAUCAUUUGAUAGCAUUGCACCCUUCUUUGAACUCCAAAUUUUUUAUAUCCCAGUUUGUACUUGGACUGAAGGAUGAGAUCAGAGCAGCGGUACGAUUGCAGGCACCCACCAGUGUUACUCGAGCAGUCUGUUUGGCCAAAAAUCACGAAGAAGAGCUGGAGAUACAGCGGCCUCGACAACGUUUUCAGAGACAUACCAUGCCUACUACAGUCCAACCAAGUCAGCAAGCAGGAAAGAAAGCACCUGAUGAUUUUGGUCGUGAAUGGCAGCUACGAGAUUUCAGAAAAGCAAAUGGACUAUGCUUCACGCGUGGAGAUAAGUAUAGCAAGGAACAUCAAUGUAAGAAGCCGAUGCAGCUACUUACUAUACAAGUUGGUGAACAUGGGGAGGUGUUAACUGAAGAUGCGGUUCACAGCUACUUACUAUACAAGUUGGUGAACAUGGGGAGGUGUUAACUGAAGAUGCGGUUCAGGCACUUGAGUUGUUAACUGAACCAGAAACACAGGAAUGUUGCCAAAUCUCUUCAAAUGCAGUCAGUAGAGCAGAUUCUGGUGAAACCUUUCGCAUCCGUGCUUUAGUGGGAAAUCAAGUGAUGUUAGCAUUGGUUGACUCGGGUAACAACCAUAGUUUUGUUGAUGAAAACUUCGCCACUCGAGCAAAAUUAGAUAUAUUGUAGCACCCCAAGUUAAAGUCACAGUUGCUAAUGGUCAGAGUAUGCAGUCUCGGUGUCAGGUGCAGAAUUUGACUUGGUGGACACAAGGCCAUACAUUCACUAGUUCUAUGAGAGUUCUGCAGUUGGGUGCAUAUGAUGCAGUGUUAGGGAUGGAUUGGCUCAAGUGUCACAGUCCGGUGACUUGUGAUUGGGAGGGUAAAGCAUUACAGUUUGCACACGGUGACACUAUUAUUUCCCUUCAAGGUGUCCAGCCUGUUUCUACUAUGCAAUUGCAAGCUAUGUCAAUAGAGCAAUUGGACAAAGCUCUGCAUGGCAAUGAUAUUUGGGCUAUGGUCGUGGUUGAUCCUUCUUCCGGUGAUGUUGUUUGUACGGCUGGCUCAUAUCCCGAAGAUCUUACUGCAGUUUUAACAGAAUUCCACGAUGUGUUUGCAACUCCAACUAGACCGCCUCCCCCAUAGAGUGUAUGAUCAUGCAAUCACUUUGGAAGUGGGUCAUAACCCUCCUAACUCUCGCCCUUACCGAUACUCGCCACAACAGAAGGACGAGAUUGAAUGACAGGUGGCAGAGAUGAUCAAGGCAGGGAUUGUGAAACCUAGCAUGAGCUCGUAUGCAUCACCAGUACUUCUGGUUAAGAAAAAAGACGACAGUUGGCAUUUUUGCGUGGAUUACCGCAAACUCAAUGCCAUCAAGGUGAAGAACAAAUUCCCUCUUCAUAUGGUCAAUGAAUUACUUGAUGAACUGGCAUGAUCGAAAUAUUUCUCCAAGCUGGACCUCAAGGCAGGUUAUCACCAAAUCCGUAUGCAUGAACCGGAUGAGGAGAAGACUGCAUUCAAGACACAUUCAGGACACUUCCAAUUUCGUGUUAUGCCGUUUGGGGUGACCAAUGGACCACCAACAUUUCAGUGCUUAAUGAACAACAUUUUUGCUCCACCUAAUCACAAAUAUGUCAUCAUGUUCCUGGACGACAUCUUAGUUUUCAGUAGCACUUGGGAGGAACAUUUGGAGCAUCUGCGCUCGGUACUACAGACCUUGUGUGAGCAUCAGUUGUUUGUGAAGCUUUCCAAAUGUUCUUUUGCUCAGACUGGAAUCAAAUAUUUGGGUCAUGUGAUUUCUUUCGAAGGUGUGGCUAUAGAUCCAGAGAAGACUACGGCGAUGGAACAGUGGUCUCAACCUACCAACGCUAAUGAAUUGCGUGGGUUCCUUGGGUUGACCGGGUACUACCGCAAGUUUGUCCGAAAUUAUGGUACUCUGGCCAAGCGUGUGACUCAAUUGCUGACCAAGAAGGGUUUUGUUUGGACAGAGCAAGCCACUGUAGCUUUUUAGAAAUUGAACACAGCUCUACCGGAUUUCAGUCAAUCUUUUGCAGUCGAAACUGAUGCGUCUGCCAUAGGAAUUGGAACUAUACUCUCAUAGAAUAACCAUCCGAUUGCUCAUCUGAGCAGGGCUUUAGGUGUGGCUAAUCAAAAGUUGUUUGUUUAUGAGAAAGAAUUCUUGGCUGUCAUUAUGGCCAUUGAUAAGUGGCGCCCGUACCUUUAGAGGGGUUCCUUCACUAUCAUUAUAGACCACCGAAGCCUCGGUCAUUUACAGGAUCAACAACUCAUUACUGAUCUUCAGCGUAAGGCCAUGGCUAAAAUGGUGGGCCUUCAAUUUCGGUUUAAAUAUCGCAAAGGCUCGGAGAACAGUGCCGCAAAUGCAUUAUAUCGUGUGGGUCACUUGUACACAAUCACAACAAUCUCGACUUGCCAACCAAUGUGGACGCAGGAGGUUGUGAAUUCCUAUCAAACUGAUCAAUCAGCUCUGGACCGAUUGGCUCGUCUAGUAGUGCAUAGUCCGGAUGAACAUGGUUAUUCACUGGAUCAAGGACUGAUUAAAUAUCAAGGACGUCUGUGGAUUGGUAAUAAUUCUGCGCUCCAAACAAAACUAAUCAGUGCUCUGCAUUCAAGCGCUGUCGGGGGUCAUUCAGGCAUUAGGGCCACUUAUUACCGUGUGUCCAAAUUAUUCCAAUGGUCUGGCAUGAAACAACAAGUCGAGGACUGGGUGAAGCAAUGUAAAGUUUGUCAGCAAGCAAAACACGAGCGCACACAUCCGGGUGGUUUGCUGCAGCCCUUGCCACUGCCUACGCACCCCUGGAAGGACAUUACCAUGGAUUUCAUAGAUGGGCUUCCGAAAUCAGAAGGAUUUGAGGUAAUCCUAGUGGUGCUUGAUCGACUCACUAAAUACACUCACUUCUUUCCUAUGAAACACCCCUAUGCACCUCAGUCCAUAGCCACAGUUUUCAUUGAUAAUGUGGUUCGCCUUCAUGGUGUUCCGGCAUCUAUUGUUUCCGACUGAGAUAAGGUGUUUACUAGUUUUUUUGGGAGGAAGCUUUUCAAGGAGAUAGGCACCAAGUUAUGCUACUCCACGGCCUAUCAUCCCCAAACAUACGGGCAAUCAGAGUGUGUUAACCAGUGCUUAGAACAAUAUCUAUGUUGUGCCGUUCAUGACAGCCCGACAAGGUGGAAACGCUGGUUACCAAUGGCAGACUUUUGGUAUAAUUCCUCUUACCACACGUCACUUGACAACACUACUUUUAAGGCAUUAUAUGGAAUUGAUCCUGAUUUUGGUACUAUGCCGAUUGCCCUGGAGAAUUACCUGCUUCCCUGACAGAGCUGGCAGCAGAUCGUGACGAUUUUUUGGCUCUGUUACGUGACCAUCUCUUACGUGCCCAACAGAGAAUCAAGUCACACGCAGAUAAGCAUCAUGCAGAUAGGGAAUUUGCUGUUGGCGAGGACGUUCUGCUCAAACUCCAACCAUAUGCACAAUCUUCGUUGGUCAACCGCCCCUGCCACAAGCUUGCAAUGAAGUUCUUUGGCCCAUUUCGUGUCACUGAAAGAAUUGACUUGCCCGAGCCACCAGAUUUGUGUGCUGUUACAUUGCAACCCGAAGCGAUUCUCGAACGACGCAUGAUAAAGAAAGGGAACUCAACUAUCCCUCAACUCAAGGUUCAGUGGCAUGGCAUUGCUGCAGAUCAUGCAACCUGGGAAGAUUAUUAUGUGCUUUGGACUCGUUUUCCGGUGGCUUAAAUUUGGGAGGAGCCUACAUCUCAAGGGGGGAAAGUGUCACGUCCCCACCAGUGUUGGUGUCGACGGACAACAAACAGGUGGCCCCGGGUCUCACUGUGCAGUGUCCAAGGGUGUAAGAUGUGGUGGUGUGUGUGACCGUGGGUCCGGCUGGUAAUGUAUUCUGCGUGGGUGUUAUAUUGUAGCUACAGAUCUGGAGAGAGGUAUUAUUGUUGAAUGAAAAGACAUUUCCGAAA
Molecule: long non-coding RNA, 5112 nt
Organism: Hordeum vulgare subsp. vulgare (domesticated barley)
Lineage: Eukaryota; Viridiplantae; Streptophyta; Magnoliopsida; Poales; Poaceae
Exons: 2
Source: RefSeq, a predicted model, not a curated record